Molecule: ribosomal RNA, 408 nt
Filed under: uncultured bacterium
Lineage: Bacteria
Description: partial 16S ribosomal RNA
Rfam family: Bacterial small subunit ribosomal RNA
Source: RNAcentral
GACGAACGCUGGCGGCGUGCUUAACACAUGCAAGUCGAACGGAGUGGCGAACGGGUGAGUAACACGUGGGUGAUCUGCCUUGCACUUCGGGAUAAGCUUGGGAAACUGGGUCUAAUACCGGAUAGUGCAAGAUGAGCUCGCGGCCUAUCAGCUUGUUGGUGGGGUAAUGGCCUACCAAGGCGUCGACGGGUAGCCGGCCUGAGAGGGUGUACGGGGACAAUAGGACUGAGAUACGGCGCAGACUCCUACGUGAGGCAGGAGUGGGGAAUAUGGCACAAUGGGGGGAAGUCUGAUGAAGAGACGGCGGGUGGGGGAAGAAGGCCUUCGGGUGGGAAACUCCUUUCGACAGGGACGCGGUACCUGUAUAAGAAGCACCGGCUAACUACGUGCCAGCAGCCGCGGUAAUGC